AGAAUGUCAUUUGUAUAGUUUAAAAUUUUUGUUGUUGUUGUUAUACUUUAUUGAGAGUUUUUUGACUAUUUCGUAGAUGAUUGAAACACACACAGUAUUGUGUUCCAAUGUCCGGCUUCUUGUCUGUGUCUAUCUGAUGUGGGCUGACAAAGCAUGACCAGUCUCUUGCAUAGGAGGAAGUGGUAAGCUAAGGAGAGAAAUGCAUGGUUCCUAGCACACCAAUUUUGCAAAGAUGAAAAAAACCAAUUUUUCAUCUUGGCCUUGCUUUAAAAUGACGCAUCUACUGUCUUCGUGCCUCAGCACAGCAGAGAAAACCAUGCUGUGUUCCAGUUUACUUUGA
This 340-nucleotide long non-coding RNA is filed under the name Macaca mulatta (Rhesus monkey). RNAcentral's name for it is "lncRNA (ENSMMUG00000058832.1)". The record is from RNAcentral. Lineage: Eukaryota; Metazoa; Chordata; Mammalia; Primates; Cercopithecidae.